UGGUUUCAGUCUUGAUAUGUGGCCGAGGA
Molecule: non-coding RNA, 29 nt
Filed under: Rattus norvegicus (Norway rat)
Lineage: Eukaryota; Metazoa; Chordata; Mammalia; Rodentia; Muridae
Source: RNAcentral